GUUUCACAAUUCUAUUGAACCAUGUAAGCUAUGAACUACAUACAUUAUCUGAGACAAUCUUUAGAUGAAGAGAAUAACCAAAAUAUUGUGUAUACCAUUACCAAGUAAGAAGAGAAGAUAGACCAGCAUUGAUUGUUACUAGUCAAUGUACAGAGCUAUAUAGCGAUAUACUUCUUCUGGUUGAUGCUUAUUAAAAUUUACUUGUUUUACACUCAUCUCCCCCAACUAACUUUCAGUGACCAGGUGCCAGUGAUCCAUGACGGCAACGACAUUGGUAAGAUCUCACUCUCACUUGGCCUCUCCCUCCCCUCCCUCUCUCUGUAUGUGCUGCAGUGUGCAGAUUUGAACUAGGUGGUAAGUUUAAUA
This 366-nucleotide ribosomal RNA is filed under the name Triticum aestivum (bread wheat). RNAcentral's name for it is "partial small subunit ribosomal RNA". The record is from RNAcentral. Lineage: Eukaryota; Viridiplantae; Streptophyta; Magnoliopsida; Poales; Poaceae.